AUCCCUUAAGUAUAAAUAAUAAGUACAGUUACCUUCCAAGUAAAAAGAUUAAGAAAACUUAAAAGAGAUA
RNAcentral lists this transfer RNA (70 nucleotides) under Brotia sp. WH-2000. RNAcentral describes it as "tRNA-Gly". The record is from RNAcentral. Lineage: Eukaryota; Metazoa; Mollusca; Gastropoda; Pachychilidae.